GCCUGCUGCUGUUCACAGAGCAAAUGAUGGUUGAACUCCUGGCCGGCGAAAUUUCAUUUAUUUGUUCUGAAAAUAUUUAAUGAUGUCAUUUUAUCUCUUAAGAUCCAAAUCAAAUAGAAAAUGUAAAACAAUAAACACAAGGUGUCAGGUGUCUGGCUUAUACAAUCCUUUUAAGAAAUGGUCCACAAACAGUGCAUCCGAAUUAGUUGGUGAUACUUUUAAAAACAAUGAAGUUUAUGGAGCCACACCCAAGAUCUGUUUAAAUCAGAAAGGUUAGGAGUAAAGCCUAGGAAUCUACAUUUGUGACAUGCUCUAUAAGUGAUUCUUAUAUACACCAAACUUUGAAAAUAACUUUUUUGGAUGACCCCAGAUGGACAAGAUCAUAUCCUGCUCUGGGGGCCAAAUUAAGUCAUUUUUAGCUGCAUUUUGAAGGAUGGGUAGGACUUGAGGAUGAGAAUUGGAAGGAAGGGGCAUUCUUUUUGGAAAUAAUGACAUGAAUGGAAACAUAGAAGCAGAAGAACAAAUUGUAUUUAGCGAAUGGUGAGGAGACCAGUGUUGUUGGAGACAAGCUAUAAUGAAGGGGAAGAGCAAAAAGAAAAAUGAAGAAGCACGUAGGAGUGACAUUGCGAUUGACUGUCCCACUAGAAAGCAUCUGCUUCCCAUACAACAAAUAAAUAGAAGGUCCUCCAAGUAUAGGUGACCUAAGCAAAUAUAGUAAAUGUUACAGGUUCAAAGAUGGUGGAGGGGUGAGAAUGGGGGGUUCUGUAGAGCAGGCACUCCUCUAUUUUCAAU
RNAcentral lists this long non-coding RNA (792 nucleotides) under Homo sapiens (human). Its description in RNAcentral is "HSALNT0125706". Lineage: Eukaryota; Metazoa; Chordata; Mammalia; Primates; Hominidae. The record is from RNAcentral.